This 253-nucleotide ribosomal RNA is filed under the name uncultured bacterium. Its description in RNAcentral is "partial 16S ribosomal RNA". It matches the Rfam family "Bacterial small subunit ribosomal RNA", at positions 524 to 776 of the family's 1533-position model. The record is from RNAcentral.
UACGAAGGGGGCUAGCGUUGCUCGGAAUCACUGGGCGUAAAGCGCACGUAGGCGGCUUGUUAAGUCAGGGGUGAAAUCCUGGAGCUCAACUCCAGAACUGCCUUUGAUACUGGCGAGCUUGAGUCCGGGAGAGGUGAGUGGAACUGCGAGUGUAGAGGUGAAAUUCGUAGAUAUUAGGAAGAACACCGGUGGCGAAGGCGGCCCACUGGAUCGGUACUGACGCUGAGGUGCGAAAGCGUGGGGAGCAAACAGG